Molecule: ribosomal RNA, 420 nt
Filed under: bacterium enrichment culture clone ALO1_GLFRUDD03F6JN6
Lineage: Bacteria
Description: bacterial SSU rRNA
Rfam family: Bacterial small subunit ribosomal RNA
Source: RNAcentral
GAGUUUGAUCGUGGCUCAGAUUGAACGCUGGCGGCAUGCCUUACACAUGCAAGUCGAACGGCAGCACGGGAGCUUGCUCCUGGUGGCGAGUGGCGAACGGGUGAGUAAUGCAUCGGAACGUAUCCUGGAGUGGGGGAUAACGUAGCGAAAGUUACGCUAAUACCGCAUAUUCUGUGAGCAGGAAAGCGGGGGACCUUCGGGCCUCGCGCUCUUGGAGCGGCCGAUGUCGGAUUAGCUAGUUGGUGAGGUAAAGGCUCACCAAGGCGACGAUCCGUAGCAGGUCUGAGAGGAUGAUCUGCCACACUGGAACUGAGACACGGUCCAGACUCCUACGGGAGGCAGCAGUGGGAAUUUUGGACAAUGGGGGCAACCCUGAUCCAGCCAUGCCGCGUGAGUGAAGAAGGCCUUCGGUCGUAAGAC